AUGAACCCCUCCUUGGCUCCGGGCCCGGAUGGAUUGCCAGUCCUGUUUUUUUUAACAUUCUGGCAAUCCAUUAAACCGGAGGUCAUGGCCCUCUUCGACGAGUUCUUCUCUGGGACCAUGGACCUGGGGCGCCUGAACUAUGGGAUCAUUACCCUCAUCCCAAAGGUUCCGGGGGCCUCGGACAUCCGCCAGUUCCGCCCGAUCACCGUGAUUAACGUGAUCUUCAGGAUCCUGGCCAAAGGAUACGCCAAUAGGGUGACCCUUCUUGCGGACUCUGUCACCCACCCCAACCAAUCCGCCUUCAUUCAAGGCCGAUUAUUUUGGAUGGGGUGUUGGUCUUUCAUGAAGUCCUCCACGAAAUCCGAUCCAAGCACCACCGCGCGGUGUUCCUUAAGCUCGACUUCCAUAAGGCCUACGACACGGUCCACUGGCCCUUCCUUCGGGAAGUAUUGCUUCGGAAGGGCUUCGACGACCGCUGGGUUACCCGCGUUAUACAACUCGUCACCUGCGGUCGGACGGCGGUCAACAUUAACGGCGAGACCGGUCCCUACUUCCCCACCCUAUGUGGGGUGCGCCAGGGUGACCCGUUCUCCCCGUUCCUUUUUAACAUGGUUGUCGAUGCCCUUGCGGUCAUCCUUGAUAAGGCCAAAGCGUGCGGCCAUAUCCGGGGCGUUGUCCCCCACCUAG
Molecule: ribosomal RNA, 687 nt
Filed under: Triticum aestivum (bread wheat)
Lineage: Eukaryota; Viridiplantae; Streptophyta; Magnoliopsida; Poales; Poaceae
Description: partial small subunit ribosomal RNA
Source: RNAcentral